GACGAACGCUGGCGGCGUGCUUAACACAUGCAAGUCGAACGGAAAGGCCCUGCUUUUGUUGGUUGCUCGAGUGGCGAACGGGUGUGUAACACGUGAGUAACCUGCCCUUGACUUUGUGAUAACUUCAGGAAACUGGGGCUAAUACCGGAUAGGAGCUCCUGCUGCAUGGUGGGGGUUGGAAAGUUUCGGCGGUUGGGGAUGGACUCGCGGCUUAUCAGCUUGUUGGUGGGGUAGUGGCUUACCAAGGCUUUGACGGGUAGCCGGCCUGAGAGGGUGACCGGCCACAUUGGGACUGAGAGACGGCGCAGACUCCUACGGGAGGCAGCAGUGGGGAAUAUUGCACAAUGGGCGGAAGCCUGAUGCAGCAACGCCGCGUGCGGGAUGACGGCCUUCGGGUUGUAAACCGCUUUCGCCGGUGACGAAGCGUGAGUGACGGUAAUGGGUAAAGAAGCACCGGCUAACUACGUG
This 468-nucleotide ribosomal RNA is filed under the name uncultured bacterium. Its description in RNAcentral is "partial 16S ribosomal RNA". It matches the Rfam family "Bacterial small subunit ribosomal RNA", at positions 28 to 507 of the family's 1533-position model. The record is from RNAcentral.